GGAGCUCGGCGCCGCGGACAACGCGCGAUCGAGCGGCGA
RNAcentral lists this unclassified non-coding RNA (39 nucleotides) under Sorangium cellulosum So ce56. RNAcentral describes it as "sce_s2m_75". The record is from RNAcentral. Lineage: Bacteria; Pseudomonadati; Myxococcota; Polyangiales; Polyangiaceae.